Molecule: ribosomal RNA, 334 nt
Filed under: uncultured bacterium
Lineage: Bacteria
Description: bacterial SSU rRNA
Rfam family: Bacterial small subunit ribosomal RNA
Source: RNAcentral
UAGUAUAUAGACUUCUCCUGAAGUUUAUAUUAAACAUUUAUGGCUAUUAGAUGGGUAUGCGUCCUAUUAGUUAGUUGGUAAGGUAACGGCUUACCAAGGCAGCGAUAGGUAGGGGUCCUGAGAGGGAGAUCCCCACACUGGUACUGAGACACGGACCAGACUCCUACGGGAGGCAGCAGUGAGGAAUAUUGGACAAUGGGCGAGAGCCUGAUCCAGCCAUGCCGCGUGCAGGAAGACUGCCCUAUGGGUUGUAAACUGCUUUUACAGAGGAAGAACCACCCCCACGUGUGGGGGUUUGACGGUACUCUGCGAAUAAGGAUCGGCUAACUCCGUG